UGGGGCAUUCUGGGAUACUGACCGGACUGUUCCAUGUGAUUAUUAAGGGAAUCUGAGCAUGAUACAUUUGUAAAAAAUCAGUUUAGAAGGACAUUAAAACUUUGAUUUUUUACACACUUAUUAUUAUUUUCAAAUUCUACAUUUAUUUAUCAUUUGAUAUGUUUAUACAUUCAAUAAAUGUAAAAAUAUAAUGAUGGAUGUUAUGAUUUUUUUUUUGAUAAUCCCUGUUUCACAUUAUGAUAGACCUGUCCAGACUGAAACCGUUGCAAAAUUUGAAAUCUCAGACAUUCAGUGCUAACCAUAAAGGAUCUAAGUGGCAUUUUAGCUAUUUUGGAGAUAUCAUCUUGUUUUUGAAUGUUGUGUACAUUAUUGUGGAAUUUUCAAAGAAAACAUUUAUCUAAAUGUGACAAGAUUGUGGAAUUGUUUGGUUGUUGUAAUUGAACUAAGAAUGACCUGAGACAGGAAGUUAUGCAAGAAUCAUAGUAAACAGUUUCAGGAACAGCUGUAUGGAUAUGUAAAGUACAGUGAUGACUUCUCAAAAGCCAGCAAGCUCCUGUUCAGAAAACUUUAUAGUGUUGAAGAAUACAGGGGCAGGUGUUUUACUGGCAACAGUACCAACACUAAAACCAAAAUCAAUUAAGGCCAGCAUUGGAGGACACAAUAUUACUGAAAGUCUUUCAUGAGUUGAUCAAGAGAAAAUGGCCAUAAUAAUGUGACUUUUGAAGCUGUCCAGAAAUUGACAUUGACAUUGAUGUUACCAAGAGGAAUAAAAAUUGUUUUAAUAGUUAUAAUAUUUUAUGUUUUGUAUUCUACCAGUGUUACAUAUAGUGUUUAAAAGUGAUGGAGGGCGAGUUUAUCAAUAUGUCAGGGAUUAAGGCAACUAGUUAUAAGAAUGAUGAAAAUUCCAUAUCUCAAAGGGGCUAUUGUAAGAAAGCAAGAAAUUACAAGCAUCAAAGAUACAGCGUCUAUGGCUUUGCAAGAUCAUGAAGAUGUCCUAGUAUUUUCCCAGGUUUUCCAAGGUUUUUUUCACUUGAAGAACCUUGGACAAUUCCAAGGAAAAUAACAUUGGACUUCCAUGGAAAUGUCCAAGCUUUCCGAGGAUGUCUAUGUAAAUGUCCAAGCUUUCCAAGCUUUCCAAGGAUGUCCAAUGAAAAAACCUUGGUCCCAAUACUCCAAGGUUUCCAAGGUUUAUGGCAUAUGUUCAUGGAAACCUUGUACAAGCUCCAAGGUUUCCAAGCAUUAGUCCUAGGAAAGACCCUGCCAUUUUUGUUCUUAAUUUACUCUUAUUGUAUUGAAAAAGUAUACCCAAUACUCCAAGGUUUUUUCCAUGAAAAAUUCCCUGAUAUUGUCCAGGGAAACCUUGGAAAUUG
Ruditapes philippinarum (Manila clam) is the source of this 1370-nucleotide long non-coding RNA. RefSeq lists it as uncharacterized. Lineage: Eukaryota; Metazoa; Mollusca; Bivalvia; Venerida; Veneridae. The transcript has 3 exons. The record is from RefSeq and is a predicted model, not a curated record.